AUUGAACGCUGGCGGCAUGCUUUACACAUGCAAGUCGAACGGUAACAGGGAGCUUGCUCCGCUGACGAGUGGCGAACGGGUGAGUAAUAUAUCGGAACGUACCCAAGAGUGGGGGAUAACGUAGCGAAAGUUACGCUAAUACCGCAUACGAUCUAUGGAUGAAAGCAGGGGACCUUCGGGCCUUGUGCUCCUUGAGCGGCCGAUAUCUGAUUAGCUAGUUGGUGAGGUAAAGGCUCACCAAGGCGACGAUCAGUAGCUGGUCUGAGAGGACGACCAGCCACACUGGAACUGAGACACGGUCCAGACUCCUACGGGAGGCAGCAGUGGGGAAUUUUGGACAAUGGGCGCAAGCCUGAUCCAGCAAUGCCGCGUGAGUGAAGAAGGCCUUCGGGUUGUAAAGCUCUUUUGUCAGGGAAGAAACGGCUGUGGCUAAUAUCCACGGCUAAUGACGGUACCUGAAGAAUAAGCACCGGCUAACUACGUG
This 484-nucleotide ribosomal RNA is filed under the name uncultured bacterium. RNAcentral's name for it is "partial 16S ribosomal RNA". It matches the Rfam family "Bacterial small subunit ribosomal RNA", at positions 30 to 507 of the family's 1533-position model. The record is from RNAcentral.